Molecule: long non-coding RNA, 409 nt
Filed under: Callithrix jacchus (white-tufted-ear marmoset)
Lineage: Eukaryota; Metazoa; Chordata; Mammalia; Primates; Cebidae
Description: lncRNA (ENSCJAG00000071105.1)
Source: RNAcentral
AAGUUACUUUGUUCUCUCUAAAAGCAAAUAAAGAAUCCCAAACCCUGAUGCCUCAUGGUUGAAGAAGAUAACCAAAAUGGCAGAAGUGGGCCCAGGAAGAGACAUGGCUGAGCUUCAGCAGUUGGGUAGCAUUGGAGAUGUGGACCCUGUUUUGCCAAAUCCAGGUACUCUCUCUAGAACCUUGGGAAGAUGUCAAAUGCAACUUGGUACUGUGCCAACAACUGAUGGCAGGGAAUUUAUCCCAGGAGCAUGCUGCACAGUGGGAGAAGCUGGCUCAGAAGUGCUGGAGGGUCCCAUUGUGUCACCAGGCUGGAGUGCAAUGGUGUGAUGGUGUGAUAACAGCUCACUGCAGCCUUGACUUCCUGGGCUCAAGUGAUCCUCCCACCUCAGCCUCUCAAGUAACUGGGAC